This 23-nucleotide microRNA is filed under the name Petromyzon marinus (sea lamprey). Its description in RNAcentral is "pma-miR-199b-5p". Its record names the gene pma-miR-199b-5p. The record is from miRBase by way of RNAcentral. Lineage: Eukaryota; Metazoa; Chordata; Hyperoartia; Petromyzontiformes; Petromyzontidae.
CCCAGUGUUCUGACUACCUGUUC